Molecule: long non-coding RNA, 713 nt
Organism: Exaiptasia diaphana
Lineage: Eukaryota; Metazoa; Cnidaria; Anthozoa; Actiniaria; Aiptasiidae
Exons: 2
Source: RefSeq, a predicted model, not a curated record
CAAUUCCGGGAGAAGUCCCUUAGGAAUAAAUUCGGAAAAAUUAACUGACGUAACUUGACGCUUGACGGCACGCUUGACGCUUGUAUUUAUUUCAUCAAGCAUGCGCAGUGAUGAGAGACGGGGACCCUGGGUUGAAAAAUGUCCAAGAGUGAACAAAUAAUUCAUAGUCUGUAUACGAUUCUCGGAAUUUUCGGGGAUUUAUGAAAUCAUGUCACCAAGAACUGAAGAUUUGUUGUGAUGGAAACUCUAUUAUUUAAACUUCGGCUCGAGAUUGUAAAAUCCCAUACAACACGGCCGCUCAUGUUGUAAACAUUACUUAUAAAAUGAUUAUUAUUUAUCUGAUUUGGUAGAGUAUAAACACUAAAAUCAUGCAAACCUUUGUGCUAUAUACUAUAAAAUAGUGCUAAUUAAACAAUAGAAAACAUUAGAAUAGCAUAAUUUAUUAGCAGUAUUUAGUGGUAUUUAUGUUGCACAGUUUUAGUGUUUGUACUCUACAUGAAUGAACUAAUAAUAAUUAUUAUUUUGAUAAAAAUAAAAAAAUGUUAUUAUACAGCAAAAAGGCUAUCAUGGUUGAAACAAUUCAUUUUGCUGUUGUAUAAGAUGAUAAAAAAAAUCACCCGACAAAGGAUAAAAUGUGAUACAUAGCUAUAACUAAAGUUACAAUGAUAAUAUAAUAUAUUGUACAGAACCACCAUAAAAUUGCAUUAUACAGC